UACAGAUGCCCCUGAGGCAUAUAGAUUCCAUUGCCUAAAGGUAGUUGGUAAUAGAUGGAGGGAUUGGAAGUGCCAACUGAAGCAGAAAUGGAUAGAUGAAUUAUCAAUGAUAAAACCAUCUUAUAGGAAUGUUCUGAGACGAAUAAGGUCAAUCGUGCACAAGGAGGUGCUCCACAUAGGACUAGUCUCACAUCAUUUGCUCAGUUGAGAAAUGUGAUGAAAGAGAAAGGAGAGAAGACUGAUCGUCUGAGCAUGUUU
Non-coding RNA from Prunus mume (Japanese apricot), 258 nucleotides. The record is from RefSeq and is a predicted model, not a curated record. NCBI's taxonomy places the organism in Eukaryota, Viridiplantae, Streptophyta, Magnoliopsida, Rosales, Rosaceae.